This 425-nucleotide ribosomal RNA is filed under the name uncultured bacterium. RNAcentral's name for it is "partial 16S ribosomal RNA". It matches the Rfam family "Bacterial small subunit ribosomal RNA", at positions 354 to 796 of the family's 1533-position model. The record is from RNAcentral.
GUGGGGAAUCUUGCGCAAUGGGCGAAAGCCUGACGCAGCCAUGCCGCGUGGAUGAUGAAGGUCUUAGGAUUGUAAAAUUCUUUCACCGGGGACGAUAAUGACGGUACCCGGAGAAGAAGCCCCGGCUAACUUCGUGCCAGCAGCCGCGGUAAUACGAAGGGGGCUAGCGUUGCUCGGAAUUACUGGGCGUAAAGGGCGCGUAGGUGGACAGUUUAGUCAGAGGUGAAAGCCCAGGGCUCAACCUUGGAAUUGCCUUUGAUACUGGCUGUAUUGAGUACGGGGGAGGUGAGUGGAACUCCGAGUGUAGAGGUGAAAUUCGUAGAUAUUCGGAAGAACACCAGUGGCGAAGGCGACUCACUGGCCCGUUACUGACGCUGAGGCGCGAAAGCGUGGGGAGCAAACAGGAUUAGAAACCCGAGUAGUCC